GCUGAUCACAUCUCUAUGCAUACAUCCACCAGUCCAUUUGUGCUUAGAACCAAUCUUGUGAUCUCACCCUAGCAACUCACAGAACUCUUCAUUCAGCUGUCAGCGCUAAGAAUUCUCCAUGUUUUCUUCCUCAUCUCCAUCCCUGGCAACAUUCUAACCAAUCAGGGUCAGGCCUGCUUCUUUAAUCUAUCUCCUUGUUUACACUACCCCUCUACUCUAGAUCUUGAGUGUCCACCAAAGGUCCAUGUGUCCCCAAGGCGAUUCGAUUAGCAUUAAGUCACAGUGCCUAAUGGGAGGGCUUCAAGACCCUGGGCAAACACUCUUGAGGGCAGUUACGGGAUAUUCCAUCCCUGCCUUCCUUCUCAUCCUAUUUUGCUUCCUGGCCAUGAGUUUUUAAGUAACAAGAAUGUGCAUUUUUGAUAUGGCUUGGAGGAAUGACAAAUUAACUCAUGCAAACCCUUAAACAGAGAAACUACUGGAAAACAUAUGGCUGAAAUCAGCUGGGUGAAAGGAAGGCAACAUGGUAGGGAGGACCAAGAACUGAAAUAGACAUUUGACAUUGAAAAAAACUCAGGUCUCCUCAGUGCCCCAAGGACACGCAGGACACAGCUCUGCUCCUCCUCCCUUGCUGCCCUCCUUCCUUCCAUCUUGGACACCCUGAGUUUUCAUCCAGCUGAGGGAGAUCUCCACUGGCUUGGCCAAUGCUUCCGGCAGCAGUCAAAACAGUCUGUCGAGGCUACAAACAGAAAACACGAUCUGGUUUGAACGAAGAUGAAUUUCUUCCCACGCCUCACCACGUAUCAGUCUAGUGAGGAAUCCAACAGAACAGCUCCUCCUCCACACAAAUGAAGAUCUCCAUUGUGUAUGCCAGAUAGGAGGGAAAAAAAGUAAAUCCUGGUGAGAUGCAGAGAAAUUCUCACCAACCAUUAACAGGCGGAUGCGCUUGAAAUUUCCAAUGAAUAGGUCUUGCACAAUUAGAACAAUGCUGUUUAUACAGAAGUUCAGUUGCAAACCUGUAGGUAUGCCCUUUGUGUACUAGUUGGAAUGGCUUUCUGCUAGGAGCACUCUCUCCACACUCCAAGUGUUGAACCACAGGAUCUGACCCACUUCAAUAACUCUCCAUUCUACCCUGUGAUAUUUUCUCAGGGUGAGCCAGAGCUCCAAAGAUGUGAAGAGAUACACAUGUCUCAUCUGAGUGCAACUGAGUGUCCUUAGGGCUCACCUCUCCAGAAGUAGGCUGCACAGCCUUCAGCAAAUCAGACACGGCCCCGGCGAGGGUCCUGGCAGCUCUGAGAAGGUCCUCCCCACUGCCCACAUCAUCGUCCAUGAGGGCUGCCAGCAGCUUGACCCCCUUGGACAUUUCGGUCAGGUUGGAAGAAAUUGUAGUGAUUGCACAGCCCACAGCUGUGUAGUCAGUGUCGGCGGGGUCACCUGAGACCAAGACCAAAGGAGAGUGGUGACAGACGAGGAGGGCCUAGCUUGGCAGGAGGUAGGCAGGCACCUGUGCCCCACCAUGCAGGUAUCAAUACAGAAUUCUGAGGAGCUCAGUGAAAUGGACAUCACCCUGACUCCAAGGUCUUCAAUAAGGUCCUCUCACCUGGAGGUCUCACAUACUGAAACAGUGAACCAAGGGUCCUUUAGAAUUCCAAAGCAAAGGGGACUAGAGGAACUGGAGUUGGGGGUAGGGUUGGAAAUGAUGAAAAUAUAGUAUACUCAGAUAUGAAAUUAUAAGUGUGUGUAUGUAUAUAUAUGCACACACACACACACACACACACACACACACACACAUAUAUGUAAAGGUGCUUAACAGGUCUGACAACCUGUAUUGGUCCCCCACAGCAUAAUGAUGAAAAAGAGAGAUCUAACUCCCUAAACUCAUCCUCUGCCCUCCACACGUGCACUGUGGCACAUGUGUGUAACCCCACUUCACUCUGAUGUAAAUGUAACUAAAAACUAAAAGAAAAACUCAAAGCAUUUUCCUUGCAAAUAUAAAGACCCAAGUUCAAAUAAAACCUGAACCAAAA
Molecule: long non-coding RNA, 2024 nt
Organism: Mastomys coucha (southern multimammate mouse)
Lineage: Eukaryota; Metazoa; Chordata; Mammalia; Rodentia; Muridae
Exons: 4
Source: RefSeq, a predicted model, not a curated record